AGUGAACGCUGGCGGUAGGCCUAACACAUGCAAGUCGAACGGCAGCACAGUAAGAGCUUGCUCUUACGGGUGGCGAGUGGCGGACGGGUGAGGAAUACAUCGGAAUCUACUUUUUCGUGGGGGAUAACGUAGGGAAACUUACGCUAAUACCGCAUACGACCUACGGGUGAAAGCAGGGGAACUUCGGACCUUGCGCGAUUGAAUGAGCCGAUGUCGGAUUAGCUAGUUGGCGGGGUAAAGGCCCACCAAGGCGGCGAUCCGUAGCUGGUCGGAGAGGAUGAUCGGCCACACUGGAGCGUGGACACGGUCCAUACUCCUACGGGAGGCAGCAGUGGGGAAUGUUGGACAAUGGUCGCAAGCCUGAUCCAGCCAUACCGCGUGGGUGAAGAAGGCCUUCGGGUUGUAAAGCCCUUUUGUUGGGAAAGAAAAGCAGCAGGUUAAUACCCCGCUGUUCUGACGGUACCCAAAGAAUAAGCACCGGCUAACUUCGUG
RNAcentral lists this ribosomal RNA (492 nucleotides) under uncultured bacterium. RNAcentral's name for it is "partial 16S ribosomal RNA". It matches the Rfam family "Bacterial small subunit ribosomal RNA", at positions 29 to 507 of the family's 1533-position model. The record is from RNAcentral.